UUUUCAUUUGAAGUGCAGAUAUUGUACCAUCGCUCUCUCCUAUUUCUGUUGGAAGAUAACGGUGAUAAUCAUAGCAGCCCAGACAACAAGGAAGAGGAUGUGACAUAUGCCACCAUCGACCAUAACAACACCAAGACAACAGGAUUCAUUGUAGAUUCCGGAGAUAAUGAUUGUGACUACGCCAUCGUUAACCUUCCAACUGGCCCAGCCCACCAGCCGUCAAUCAAGGAAGACUGUGCAGAUGACUAUGUCCUUAUGGGCUAACCUCAUGGACAAUGUGUGUGUGUGUGAGAUGACAGAGGUAAUGUGAGUAGGGGGAUAACGGAGAUGCAAGGUGGACAAGGGCUGGGGAAAGCUAGACAGCACCUUACGGAACCAAAGGAACAGAUAUGAUGCCUCUGACAGUGCCUACAAACUGAACUUGAUGCAGUGUGGGGUGCACCAAUUAGUGGGGCUUACCAAAGUAUUCACCCCCUUGGCAUUUUUCCUAUUUUGUUGACUUACAACCUGGAAUUAAAAUAUAUUUUGGGAGGUUUGUAUCAUUUGAUUUACACAACAUGCCUACCACUUUGAAGAUGCA
RNAcentral lists this long non-coding RNA (580 nucleotides) under Salmo salar (Atlantic salmon). Its description in RNAcentral is "lncRNA (ENSSSAG00000100488.1, ENSSSAG00020047947.1)". Lineage: Eukaryota; Metazoa; Chordata; Actinopteri; Salmoniformes; Salmonidae. The record is from RNAcentral.